Molecule: ribosomal RNA, 253 nt
Filed under: uncultured bacterium
Lineage: Bacteria
Description: partial 16S ribosomal RNA
Rfam family: Bacterial small subunit ribosomal RNA
Source: RNAcentral
UACGUAGGGUCCGAGCGUUGUCCGGAGUUACUGGGCGUAAAGCGCGCGCAGGUGGUCGAUUAAGCCCGGCGUGAAAGCCCCCGGCUCAACCGGGGAGGGUCGUCGGGGACUGGUGGACUUGAGGGCGGCAGGGGCUGGUGGAAUCCCCGGUGUAGUGGUGAAAUGCGUAGAUAUCGGGAGGAACACCAGUGGCGAAGGCGACUACCUGGCCUGUUCUUGACGCUGAGGCGCGAAAGCUAGGGGAGCAAACGGG